AUUUCACCGUUGAGUCGGCUAAUCACAAUUGUCCAUGGUUUGCAUUGGAUCAGAAAAACUACAGGCCACGGAGAACCUUGAAACCCAACAAACCACUUACAAGCUGUGAGGACCAACACAAAAAUGAAAUAAAUAAAACCAACAAACCACCGAUACCAAUCUCCUAUAAAAUCAAGCCCCAUACGCCAUAAGGCACUCACAUUGCCUCACCCUCCUAUAUUAUAUUAUCCCGACACUACAUCUUUCACAAACUUGCUAUUAUUUCCUCCCCAGAAAAAGAAAAAUGGCUUUCAUCAUUUCUAAAGCUCCACCACAACAAAAGCAACCAUCUUUCUCAGAAGCUGAGAAGAAAGAUGGGCAUGAAGAACUCUCAGAAGCACAGAGUUCUUCCAUCACCAGGCAUGUCUACUUGAAAUCAUCUGCUGCUGCUGCCAUGGACAGAGAUGUUGUUCUUCGACGCAUUCGUCACCACAAGAACUUGAGCAAGGUCAAAAGUGCUUUUCAAGCUCUGAUGGGCAGCUCACAGGAAGCUGCUUCUAUGGCCUCAGUGGACCAGACAUGGCUGCACCAGGAGGACAUUUUCUCUUCCCCUUAAGUCUUUAGUUUAUUGAUCUUGUAGUUUUACUUUUUAUGUAGUACAAGUAGAUGGAAAGCUAUUAUGUCUUAAGCAGGCUUUGGCCAAAGCCAUGAUUAACUGCUUGUUAAAUACCAGUACGGCUUCAACUCAUUAUGUAUCUACUUAUGCCUUCAACCCAUCUGAAGAUUAUAAGCUUUCUUGCUCAUCAAAAUUGAAACAUGUAUGUGGAUCACUGAUCAGUGAGCUGAUAUCAGUGGAAUCUGCAAGCCCCUUGAUAUGAUCUUGAGCAAGAAACAGAUCACUCACUUGAAAGGGACCUGAAGGGCAAUUUAAUUACUUUUGGUGGUCUGAAUCAGAAUGUGUAGAUAGACACUAAUUAAAGCAGCUGAGUUUUCACUUUGGAGAGGGACCUCUUCUAUAAGGACAGAGAGUGAGGAGCUUAUUUGAAAGGUUCAAUCCACCAUCUCAAAUCAUUUAAAAUAAAUGGUGCGAUUGAACCCCUUAAAUAAGCUACUCACUCUAAAUUUCUCGUUAUAGUAAAAUAAAUAGUGCGUUUGAACCUUUUAAAUAAGCUACUCACUCUAAACUCCUCGUUAUAACUAGGGGUCCACACCUGAGCUUUUUAGCCUUUUCUUUUUCUUAGUGGACGUUGAGUCAGUUUUCCUCUGGGCCCGUUGUCUACGUCGUUCUUUUCCUUCACGGCUUCAAUGUGAUCCAACUAAUUCCUCAUAUCUAUUCCAUGCUAGUAAAUGGAUUUCAAGCCUAUCGAAGUAUCAAGAAGCAUAAGAAGAAGAAAAAACAAUAGUUUGAUAUCUUAAUAGAUUAAAGGAUAUCAAAAAAUUCGAGAAAAUAAAAUAGCCCUUCCUCCUACCCCUUUUAUAUAAGUUCUGUGACUGGUGACAAACACCAGAAAGCACAACAAACAGAGUUCUUGGCUUCCUGUAAUUUGGGUUUUUUAUUUUAUUUUUAAAUUCUCUUAAAAUUGAGCAACGCAGCUCAACUUAGAAUUUGCAGAAGAACUAAGGUCAGCUCAAUUCAAUGAAUUCAAUUUCCAACAUUUUUAAAAUCUGCUCCUUGUUGCUAAAAUAUGAAAAUUAUGAGAGAAUAUUUGUUUGUGGGAAUUUUCUGUGUAUUCUUCUCCUUGUAGGAGGUCAUAUUUAUAAUACAACGAAAUCUGAAUGGGCAAGUAAAUAAUAAAUUCCUAAAUCUAUUUACAGUAGGAAAUCAGGAAUUAAAGUAAAUCAAUUACAAUUAUAAUAGGAAUUCUUGGUGUGUAAGGAAAGUAAGUCAAUAUCCACAAGUCACGCCAACACUCCCCCUCACGUUGGUGCAUAGAUGUCGACAAUGCCCAACUGAUCUAGUGAAUUGUGGAAUGCUUUACUGGAAAUCGCCUUUGUCAAAAUAUCCGCCAAUUGAUCCUCGGAUUUCACAAAAGGAAACUGAAACACUUUAGCCUCAAGCUUCUGUUUGAUGAAGUGUCGAUCCACCUCAACAUGUUUAGUACGAUCAUGCUGAACCGGAUUCUGUGCAAUGGCUAUAGCAGCCUUGUUGUCACAAAAGAGAUUCAUUGUGGACGUAGGUUUAUACCCGAGUUCAAUAAGCAACUUUCUUAACCAAAGAAGUUCACAAAUCCCUUUAGUCAUGCCUCUGAACUCGGCUUCUGCACUGGAUAAAGCUACUACAUUCUGUUUCUUGCUCCUCCAUGUCACCAAAUUACCUCUCACGAAUGUGAAGUAACCCGAUGUGGAUUUUCUAUCUGUUACAUUACCUGCCCAAUCUGCAUCUAAAUAACCAUCAAUAUUUAGAUGACCAUGCUUUGAGAACAUAAGUCCUUUUCCAGGUGCAGACUUCAAAUAUCUAAGUAUCCGAAGAACUGCAUUCAUGUGGUCUUCACUUGGAGAGUGCAUAAAUUGAUUGACAACGCUCACCGCAUAAGCAAUGUCUGGUCGAGUAUGUGACAAAUAGAUCAAUCUUCCCAUUAACCUUUGGUAUCUUUCUUUGUUAGUUGGAACUUGAUCCGGAUAUUCUCCAAGAUGAUGAUUCUGAACAAUAGGAGUGUCCGCAGGUUUACAAUCUAGCAUUCCUGUGUCUGUCAACAAGUCUAAGACAUAUUUCCUUUGAGAGAGAAAUAUGCCUUGCUGCGAUCGAGCCACCUCAAUUCCCAAGAAAUACUUGAGUCCACCUAGAUCCUUCAUCUCAAACUCCGUAGCCAGAUAGUCUUGUAGCUGUGAUAUUUCCUGUUUAUCAUUCCCAGUAAUAAUCAUAUCAUCAACAUAGAUUAUUAAUGCUGUUACCUUCCCUUUUUGAUGUUUCAAGAACAGAGUAUGAUCUGAGUUGCACUGUUUGAAACCAUUGUUCUUCAUUGCCAUGGUGAACCGUCCAAACCAUGCACGUGGUGACUGUUUCAAUCCAUACAAUGCUUUUCGUAACCUGCAAACUGUUCUAGUCUGAGUAGUAUUAUAUCCAGGAGGAAUGUCCAUGUACACCUCCUCCGUGAGUUCACCAUGUAGAAAAGCAUUUUUUACAUCAAACUGGUGUAGUGGCCAAUCCAAAUUAGCUGCAAGGGACAAUAAGACUCUGACGGUGUUUAACUUUGCAACUGGUGCAAAAGUUUCUUCAUAGUCUAUACCAUAGGUCUGUGUGUACCCUUUUGCCACAAGUCUUGCCUUGUAUCGCUCGAUAGAUCCAUCUGCAUUGUGUUUUAUAGUAAACACCCAUCUACAUCCGAUAGUCUUUUUUCCUCGUGGUAUAGUCUCCAAUGUCCAAAUCUGAUUUUUCUCAAGAGCUUUCAUCUCCUCUUUUAUAGCUUGGACCCACUUAGGAUCUUUCAAUGCUUCAGAGACCUUGGUUGGAAUAUGGAUAGCAGACAACUGAUGCACAAAAGCCUUGAGUGGUGCAGACAGCUUCUCAGUGGAUACAUGAUUUGCAAUUGGAUACUUGGAUGUCUUGCCAAUAUCCGGUGAAUAACGGUUUGGUGGCUUCCCACGAUUUUGCCUGAAAGGUAAUUGAUAUCCAAUAGUUUUAUCAUCUAAAUGCACAAGUCUAGUAGAAGUAGUUACCUCAAGGAUAUUCUCAGGAGAUUGGUCUGUUGGUACUGUUGAGUUAGAAGGGGAGUCUUCAUCUUGUUGUUCUGUAUUGUCUGUAGGUGUGGGACUCGGAUCAGAAAUAUCUUCACAUGGAUCAGGUGGGUCAGGCAAUUGAUCGCUAUGAAUGGGCGAUUGGUCACUUUUCAACAGAGAGUAAUCUCGUGCUCCAGACUCGGGAUGAUCAAUCAUUUCUGUACAUAGGAGAAUUUCUUUGUUUUCCAAGUUGCUCCAAUUCUGUUCUUCACUUCGUAUCUCCCCCUGAAGCGCAGAAUUGGAUGAUGGGUCAUGGAAGAACAGCUCAGAUUCCAGAAAAGUCACAUCCAAAGUGACAUAGGUUCGUUGGGUAGGAGGGUGAUAACAGCGGUAACCUUUCUGAUGAGUGGCAUAACCCACAAAAACACAACGAAGCGCACAGGGAUCAAGUUUGCUACGUUGAUUUUUGUGGAGAGGAACGAAAGCCACACAUUCAAAGAUUCGGGGUGUGAGUACCAAAACAGAGGGCAGAGGUCUGUGUUGCGCAAGCACCUAUAAAGGAGUUUUAAAGGUCAAUGUAACACCCCGACCCCAAAUUUCUCCAAAUUUUACCCUUAUUUAAUUAUUUAAUUAUUUAAGAGUAUUUUAGUCAUAUUUUUAACCGGGGAGAGUUUGGGACCGUGACUUAUAUUUUUGGAUAGGUCGUACUGAGACGAAUUCAUAGACACGUAGUGGGCUCGAAUCGGAGUUGUAACUAGAGAGAUAUGGUCAAAAGAAGUCCAGUGGCAUAAUCGUAAAUAUUUCAAAAUGGAAUUUUUUAUAAAAUCAGAUUUCUCUCUCUCUCUCUCUCUCUCUCUCUCUCUCUCUCUCUCUCUCUCUCUCUCUCUCUCUCUCUCUCUCUCCCGCGACUUCUCUCUCUCUCCCGUCGGCUCUCUCUCUUUCUCUCCUUGUAUCUCCGGCCACCGACCACGGCUGUGGGCGGGGCCGAUACCAAACUGACCGGGACGACGUCCCCAUCCUUCCCCGACCAUUCCCCGCCGGCGACGCGGCCGUUGCUGGCCGAAAAAUGCAGAAAACCGCCGGAAGGUCGUCGAAACUUCAACGCCGUCGAUCUCCCUCCUCCGGCCACCAUUUCCGUCGACCCAGGUAUGGAUCUUGAACCUCUCGAGCUGUUCUAGCUGCCUGUUGGUUGGGUUUUGAUCGAUUCGAUCUCUAGAUCACUCGAUUUUCGAAUUGAAAGUCGUCCGAAACUUCGGCGGCCGUGAUCGGCCAUUUUCGACCACUUUUUGGGGUAGGUCCAAGAACAAAAGUUGCUCCAAAUAGGGUGUUAUACCUAGGGUAGGAGUUUGGAGCCGAGAUGUUGAGAUUUUUCGGCGAAGCGUUAUCGCUUUGGGCACCCACGCGCUGCCGGCGCGUGCGGCGGCGCGUGGGCACUGUAGAAAAGUAGCGAUGUGUUCCGAUGAGAUCCUUAGGUUGUCACGAGUGCGUAGGAUUUUGCGGAUCUCAAUUCGGACGUCGUUUGACUAUCGAACGGAUAAUCGCAUAGUAUGCGUUAUCCGGGUUCGAUAGGUUGGGACCGUCGGAUGGUCCCAAAUUUAAUAUAUGUUAAUCUAGGUAAUUCUAGGAUCGUGUAGGAAUUCACGGAUCGUGAAUCGGAGCCCCGGAUGUUCCGAAUAAUAAUUUUAAGUUUAUAUUUUAUAUUAACCGUCGGAUCGUGCGAUCGUGAGACAUCCGACCGUCCGAUCUGAACCAAACUUGCAGGACAAGUGUCCUAUACCUGGUAGAACCCAUAGGGACUUCCGGAUCGGAAAUUGGAGGUCGUGGGUUCUGCAGGUUCGGUUGACCAGGGUUAGAAUAGUUUGACCCUUGGUUGACCGUGAAUCUUCCGGAGUAAUCCCACCUUUUUAAGGGGGGAUUAUCGGGUGCUAGACCAUUGUGGAGGAUUACACAAUAUUAGAAUUUAUUUAUAUAAUUAUAAUUAUAUAUGGUUGUACAAGGAUACAACAGAGUUUAGAAUGUCAGUUUGGAGUACUAUACGCACUACUCUAGGUACCUCCUCGGACUUUGGAUUCAUUACAAGCACCACCAAGUGAAAGCUAGGUCUCGCGUGGCGUAGGUUAUCCGGCGUUGGGACAGGCCCCAUACGUGGCGUUGGUUGUACCGGCGUAUGGGGAGCUAUUGUGAUAUUGUGUUGAGGUCGCACGUGGCGUAGGUUAUCUGGCGUGUCGACAGACCCCAUACGUGGCGUUGGUUGUACCGGCGUAUGGGGAGUUAUGUGAUAUGAUGUGCAGGUAUCACGUGGCGUAGGUUAUCCGGCGUUAAGACAGACCCCAUACGUGGCGUUGGUUGUACCGGCGUAUGGGGAGAUAUUAUGAUAGUGUGGCAUGGUCGCACGUGGCGUAGGUUAUCCGGCGUGUUGACAGGCCCCAUACGUGGCGUUGGUUGUACCGGCGUAUGGGGAGAUGUUAUGUGAAAUACAGAGAAAUGAAAUAAGGUAUCGUCCAAGUAUGGAAUUGGAUUGUAGGGAAGAACUACGUGUGGCUUGAUCCCUCAAGGAGGGUACGUAGGCAGCCUAAGGUUAUUAGGUGCAGCCGCAGACUAAAUAUUAGUCAUAUUUUGUAUUUGAAUUGUUUGGUAGUUGUUGGAGAAUUAUUGGAAGGCCAAAGGGCAUUUGUGUGGAUUGCAUGAAAUUAUAUUGUGCAUGCUGCCAGUUGUGGAUAUUAAAUGUGUUUUUAUGCAGGUUGAAAUUUUGGGAAAUGUCCAAAUUAUAGGGGAGACUCUGCCGAAAUUUCGGCAGGAAGUCUCAGUUUUUUUGUAAGUGGGCCUGACAUCGGGGUGAUGUCAGGAAUUCCAAAGGGUUCGUCUCGGAUUUUGAGAAAAUUCGGGGCGGGUCCUUUCAGUCAAUAUACCAGAAGGCAUGCAAUUGAUCAGGUGAACUGCAGUGACAAUAGCAUCAUCCCAGUGAUGGCGAGGAACAUGAGCGCCAAUCAGAAGUGCUCGGGCAGUUUCAAGAAGAUGUCGAUUCUUUCGUUCAGCAACACCAUUUUGUUGCGGUGUCUGAGGACAAGUCGUCUCAUGGAUAAUUCCAUGUUGUUGAAAGUAAGUCUGAAAGUCAUGAUUGACAAAUUCUCCACCAUUGUCUGAGCGAAGAAUCUGGAUUUGAGCAUUAAAUUGAGUUUUCAUCUGUUUGUGGAAGGACUGAAAACGGGAAAACACUUCGUUUUUAUUCUUUAGCAAAUUAAUCUAUGUCAUCCGUGUACAAUCAUCGAUGAAUGUGACAAACCAUCGAACACUAGAAGGAGCAGUGAUAGGCGAAGGUCCCCAGACAUCAGAGUGAAUUAAUGUAAAUGGAGUAGUACACUUGUUCGUGCUCAACGGGUAGGGCACACGGUGACUCUUGGCCAAAAUACAAGUAUCACAUAUGAAGUCAGAGUCUUUGAAACCUGAGAAUAAAUCUGGUAUAAGAUGCUUCAUAGAACUAAAAGACGGAUGUCACAAUCGACGAUGCCACAACCAGAUUUGCUUUUGUUUGCUAUCAAAGAGAUGUGUCACACUGUUAGCCACGCCGGGACUGAAGUCAUCGACAUAAUAUAGCCCCCAUCUCUUAGUACCACGACCAAGAAUCUCCUUAGUGUGAAUAUCCUGAAGCAAACAAAAACUCGGGUAAAUGAGUACACAACAAUUCAAUUAUUCAGUAAGCUGACUAACUGACAACAAUUUAGUGGAUAAAGAUGGAACAAGUAAAGUAUUAGACAGUGUGAGAGAGGAUGAGAGUGCAACAGUGCCAGCCCCUGUCACAGGAUAAGUAACACCAUUGGCAUUUGCAAUACAGGUUCGUCGAGGUUGUGUAGUAUUCAGAAAAUCAUCAGGAUCAAACGUCAUAUGAUCAGUUGCACCAGAAUCAAUUAUCCAGCUCUUGGAAUCAAUCUUAUCGGAAGUAUGGAAUCCAUAACCAGUACCAUUACUGGUCAUAUUGCAUUGUCCUCGAUCUGUAAGAGUAGCCCACCAAUCGGGGUAGCCAUGCGAUGUAAAACAAGUCUCACAAGUGUGUCUCGGAUCACCACAAUAUGCGCAAUUUGGUCCAUGUGUCGGGGUCGUUAGUCUAGAAGUCAUAAUCUGUGCAGCGGAAGAAGCAUAGGAUACAGGUUGAGUAGGAAUUUGGAUCGAAAUCUGAGCCUGAGUCGGGGCCGGAGUCGGAGUCGAAAUCGGGAUCGGGGUCUGAAUCAUAGACAAAUUCGAGGUUGGGGUCAUCAUCGGAAUGGGGGUCGGGGUCGUCUUCGGAGUCGGGGUCAGGGUCGUCGUCGUCAUAGUCGGGGUCGGGGUCGGGGUCGUCAAAAGAGGAUCCUGAUUCUGGAUCGGGGUCUGAAUCAUAGACAAAUUCGGGGUUGGGGUCAUCAUCGGAGUGUGGGUCGGGGUCGUCUUCGGAGUCGGGGUCGGGGUCGUCGUCGUCAUAGUCAGGGUCGGGGUCGUCAAAAGAGGAUCCUGAUUCUGGAUCGGGUUCGGGGUCAAAGUCUGCAUCUGUAGGGGCGGAGCCAUCUGGGCACUCAACUCAACGAUGAUUGGUUGAGAAUGAGAGAAGGAGUCGGUGGUGCUACCUCCAUGAGGGUUGAAAAAAUCAUCAACCCUCAUAGCGGCGGCGGGUUUUGAAACUAGAGUCAGCAAUUCCAAGAUCGCCGCUCUGAUACCAUGCUAAAAUAUGAAAAUUAUGAGAGAAUAUUUGUUUGUGGGAAUUUUCUGUGUAUUCUUCUCCUUGUAGGAGGUCAUAUUUAUAAUACAACGAAACCUGAAUGGGCAAGUAAAUAAUAAAUUCCUAAAUCUAUUUACAGUAGGAAAUCAGGAAUUAAAGUAAAUCAAUUACAAUUAUAAUAGGAAUUCUUGGUGUGUAAGGAAAGUAAGUCAAUAUCCACAAGUCACGCCAACACUUGUUACAUUCAAUGUUGUUUUCUAAAUUUCUCUUGACAUUUGACAUGUUCUUCAAGGAGGGAUGCAUUCAACCUGUUAAAUACAUGUAGAGAAGUAUUUUGUAUUUGAUAUGGCACAUAGGAUUUUAGGACAUGGCAUGUUUUUGCUUAUGCUUCACUUUUCAAACAACAUUUUACAUGAAGAAUACUACCACCUCUCUUACUACUUUACCCAUAAAUCUUUGUUUGAAAUUGUUGUUCUGGUUGGCAAAGAGAUUGCAAAAUCACCAUCUUGCAUUUUUCUUACAACAAGUAAAAAAUAAUCUUAGCCUCUCAAAUUCUUUCGCAGUUAGUAAAAUACGAAUAAAAUACGUACAUGUUUUAUUCAGUAAAAUUUUGGCAAGUUACAACUGAAAAGUUCGGCCACUAUAUAAUAAUAUAUGAAAAUUAUGUGUAUAAUACAUGAAUUUUGUGUGUAUUAUUGAAAAUUUUGUAAAAAACGCAUGUAUUAAACAUGAAAAACACGUACGUACAUGUACAAUACUUGUAUUGUAUGUUAGCUUUUAAAAAAGUGUAUUUUACCGAGUCUUUAAGACGUGUAUAGAAAACGGAAGUAUUAUCAAAAAAUACAUACGCACGUGUAUAAUAUGAGUAUUAAACAUGAAAAUGCUAAAUUUUUUAUAAGGGUAAUAACUCUGGAAAAGUUAAAAAUCAAAAAGGGAUAAUAGAGACUCAAGUAAUGCCCUAAUAGUAAUGGAUAAUGUUAUAAACUACUCUUAUUGAUAAACGAAAAUUGAGGAAAAAAUUAUUUUUAAAAAAAAAUAAAAGAGGGAUCCCACUAUAUAUUUAAAGCGUAUAGCCAGCGGCUAUACUAUUUAUUUUUUAAAAAAUUAAAAAAGGGACCCCAUAUAGCCACGCGGCUAUACUAUUAAUUUUUUUUAAACCACAGUAUAGCCAGACGGCUAUACGCUUUAAAUAUAUUAUAUUUACAAAGCAUAGCCGCACGGAUCUACUAUUUACUUUUCUUAAAAAUAGGGACCCUUUCUCUCGCCUAGGCGGCCUUUAUUUUUAUUUUUUUAUUAAUUUAUUUUAAAAACAUAGUAUAGCCGCGCGGCCAUACUAUUUAUUAUUUUUUAAAAAAAAAAAAGACCCGCCUAGCCCUAGGCGGUCUUUAUUUUUGUUUUUCUAUACUAUUAAAUUUUUAAAAAAUAUCACAGUAUAUAGCCGCCCGGCUAUACUGUUUAAAUAUAUUAUAUUUGCAAAUCACCUUUUAGUCGGCUAAUCACAAUUGUCCGCGGUUUGCAUUGGAUCAAAAAAACUACAGGCCAUGGAGAACCUUGAAACCCAACAAACCACUUACAAGCUGAGGAACAAAACAAACAUGAAAUAAAUAAAACCACCAAACCUCCGAUACCAAUCUCCUAUAAAAUCAAGCCCCAUACGCCAUAAGGCACUCACAUUGCCUCACCCUCCUAUAUUAUAUAAUCCCAACCCUACAUCUUUCACAAACUUACAAUUAUUUCCUCCCCAGAAAAAGAAAAAUGGCUUUCAUCAUUUCCAGAGCUACACCACAACAAAAGCAACCGUCUUUCUCAGAAGCUGAGAAGAAAGAUGGGCAUAAAGAACUCUCAGAAGCACAGAGUUCUUCCAUCACCAGUCAUGUCUACUUGAAAUCAUCUGCUGGUGCUCCCAUGGACAGAGAUGUUGUUCUUCGACGCAUUCGUCACCACAAGAACUUGAGCAAGGUCAAAAGUGCUUUUCAAUCUCUGAUGGGCAGCUCACAGGAAGCUGCUUCUAUGGCCUCAGUGGACCAGACAUGGCUGCACCAGGAGGACAUUUUCUCUUCCCCUUAAGUCUUUAGUUUAUUGAUCUUGUAGUUUUACUUUUUAUGUAGUACAAGUUGAUGGAAAGCUAUUAUGUCUUAAGCAGGCUUUGGCCAAAGCCAUGAUUAACUGCUUGUUAAAUACCAGUACGGCUUCAACUCAUUAUGUAUCUACUUAUGUCAUGCCUUCAAGCCAUCUGAAGAUUAUAAGCUUUCUUGCUCAUCAAAGUUGAAACGUGUAUGUUGAUCAUAAUUCAUAACAUUUUUACCUGUGAGCUGAUAUCAGUGGAAUCUGCAAUCCCCUUGCAGUGAGCAAAUGAACAAACACGAAUUUUGAUAUGAUCUUGAGCAAGAAACAGAUCGCUGAAGGGCAAUUUAAUUACUUUGUGCAUCAAUUUAGAGCAUACAACAAACUAUCUGAUGGUGGAAAAGUGGGGGAAACGAUCGAAUAGGAGAGAGAUACAUUCGUGUUGCCUUUUGGUGAUCUGAAUCAGAAUUUAUGUCGAUAGACACUAAUUAUAGUGUAAUAUAGUACAAUUCUCUUUUAUUUAUGAGCAAGUCCAUGUUUUAGCUGCCAAAAGCAGCUGAAUUUUCACUUUGGAACCACCAAUGAAAUGAAGAGUAGGUGAAAUAUAAUAAUGGCUCCAAUAGAUUUCCCAACCGUAAUCAUAGAUUGUAAAAAGAAACAUAAGGACUUAAGCAGGACCAGGGCCUAGGACUAGGAGAAGGACAAACUCUUAAAAAUAAUGCUCAUAACAUAUGUAUUGCAUGCAUCUUUCAAAUGUUUCUUUCUCAUCAUCAAGCUCUAACCAAGCUUUGCCCAGUUCUUAGCCUCCCACCCUACACAGAACUGAGCAGCAGACUAGUGCUGGCACUAAAUAUGUUUCAAAAGAUCAGGGUGGAAAAACUCUUUCUUUUAUCAAUAAAACAAAAAGGAAAGAAAAAUAAUGUCACAGAUGAUGGAGAACAAUGCGACUACAACACAAUGGCAGAUUCUAUAAAAUAAACAGUUGGGCCAUGGGGACAUGAUCCCUCUCCAUUUUGAUCAUUCAUAGGCAUGCCCUCCUAGAGGAGCCAAGUACGAUACAUAUCAGCAUAGCUCGACUAAGGGAAUACAAUAUCAUAGCACAUAUCAAGAGAAAAAAUGUAAGAAAAUGCUGGCAUUUAGCUCGUCACGUUUUUACUCAACAAGCCAGAAGAAGAGAGGAAGCGUAAGGCUUGGUUGGAGUUGUUCAACACUGCAUGUGAUCUAGACACCUGCAUUUUCCUUUUCUCCAAGAACGCCAAGGAAUUCUGUAAGCAUUUUGGAGCAGGUGUCUCCUUCAAAAUAACAGUAUCAACCCUGCAAAUCAAAAUAAAAGGAAAAAAACGAAAUUACAUAUUCAUUCAAAAUGGAGUGAGAUCAAAAGUAUUUUUCUCUGUCCUUAUAGAAGAGGUCCCUCACCCUGAGCUUUUUAGCCUUUUCUUUUUCUUAGUGGACUUUGAGUCAGUAUUCUCAUCCUCAGAGUCUGAGUGGAACACUUGUCUGCACAUUGAAUUUGGCAAUUUGGUUACAAUCUCAUAAGAACUAAAGAUCAUCAUCCAGAGAGAGAGAGAGAGAGAGAGAGAGAGAGAGUCAUACUUCUCACGAGCUGCAAGCAAUUCAACAAUGUUGCUUGGAAGCAUCCCUGCACUACCCAAAGAUUCUUGGUGUGUUUCAGUUUCAGGGGCAUCUUGAACACUUUCAACUCCAGCAGACGGCUGUGGUGUUUUCUUUGGUGUUUUCCUUUGGGCCCAUUGUCUACGACGUUCUUUUCCUUCACGAACCACCCUAUAUAGAGUAAUAUCAAUUUCCGUUAAAAUUUAUGUCUUAAGCAAAAUAAAUGCAAAAGGUGGAUACCAAAGCUACACAAACUAAUUUCAUAUUUUAUUUUUAUGUUUCACAAAUUGGUGAUUCACCCCCAAAAAUGAUAAAAGAAAGAGAAUCCACAAUCCAGUAACACUUCUUGAAUCAACUUUUUGAAGGUUUCCUAAGAGUCACCUGAUAAUGCAAAGCAUCAAACUUCUUAUAGGCACAGAAACAUACAAAACAUUGUCCAUAAAAAACUGUCGGAUAUAACUUCCAUGUGAUCCAACUAAUUCCUUAUAUCUAUUCCAUGCUGGUAAAUGGAUUUCAAGCCUAUCAAAGUAUCAAGAAGCAUAAGAAGAAGAAAAAACAAAAAUUUGAUAUCAUAAUAAAUUAAAGCACAUCGAAAAAUUGGAGAAAAUAAAAAUAGCCCUUCCUCCUACUCCUUUUGUAUAAGUUCUGUGACUGGUGAGGUGACGAACACCAUAAAGCACAACAAACAGAGUUCUUGGCUUCCUGUAAUUUGGGUUGUUUAAUUUUCUUAAAAUUGAGCAACGCAGCUCAACUUAGAAUUUGCAUAAGAACUCAGGACAGCUCAAUUCAAUGAAUUCAAUUUCCUACAAUUUUUAAAAACCAAACAAGACCUUAAUUAAAAUCAAAACAGUGUUUAGCAAAAGAGAGCAAGGUGUUAAGUGACCCACCUCGCUUUGUUCUCUUUCUGGACCUUACUUAGUUCUUCAUCUUGUUGUAUUCCCUGUAACCAUUACCAAAACAAGAACCAAGUUCUAAACUUUUGCUUUCUGAAAUAAAAAUAUAAACUUUAAAUUCUCUUCAUAGACUUAGAUUACCUGCUCGGCUGUGAGCUCCUCGGGGGCGUCCGAAUCGUAAUCUUCUCUGUCCGACAUUUUCCAACCCCCUUUUUUUCUGGUCUUGGGAGAGUUUCAGGAGCGCCUAGGGUUUAUGGUUGAAGGCUCAACCUACUCAAAGAAGACGAUGCUGAUUCUGAAAUUUUGGGUCAUGGAAGAUUUGUUGUUAGUGCUCAAAAUAAAAGCAAGGGCCCAAUUUCAAUUAAGUAUUGGGUCUUGGGCUCCUGGUCUUAUGGGCUAAAGGGUUACUCUGGCCCAUAGCUGACUUCCUCCAUCUGUUUUCUUUUUUUUUGAGAGAGACUUCAUCUAUCUAUCUUAUUCAAACAUCGGUUUAAUGGUAAUUCUCUCCAAUUUUGGAAAAGAUCUCUGACUCUAAUCUCCCGUUAACAGAUACAUAAACAUAACAUUUGUAACUAGUUAAACCUUGAUCAGUAACUUUUACCCAUAAACCCGAACAAAGUUACAUUAAGAUAAUCAACUAACUAAAAUCUCACAGUACUUCUUUUUCCAAAACUGAAAGAAAGUACAAGUUUAAUACCCUAGGCCUCUUAUCCCAUUGAUUAAAACAAAAUUACAUUAAGUUAAGGGGGAAAGAAAUAAAAGUUGCUUUUGUUUGGACUUUUUGUCCAUUUUAAAAUAACACAACAAAAAUAAAAGGCCCCAAAAUAUAGUAAUGAUGCCAUGGUUUGUAGUGCACAACACGCCAUAUGAUUAAAAUGCAAUAUGAUUAAAACUGGUAAAAUCAAAUUAGGAUCAUAUAUUGGUUGGUUUAGUAGUUGAUUGGGAUUAGAUUUUUAAAUAGUUUAAUCUUCCACUAGUGCCAUUUUCUAAAAUGUAAUCCAACAAAAUUAUGUGGUUGGGAGUGUUGGAGAAUCUUAUACCAAACCUGGUCAUGCAUAUUGCAUAAGAUAAUCCUGUCUAUUUUGCACUAUAAUAAUAUUAUAUUAGUGAAACGACUUGGUAAAUUAGCUUGUAAUUUUGAGGGAUACAGUUGUUUGGCACCGACUUCACUCCCAACGGUCAAAAGAUGCAGAUUAUCUGUCGGUUGAUGAUGCUUGAUUGAAAACAACAUCCCCCAGAGGCAAUGCUCAACUCACUUUUUUAAGCAAUAUGAGCUAAACGUUAGUGAUGAUGUGACCAAAACGAAGUAGCUAAGCUAAACAUCUUGGAGAAGUCGUUGAACCAGCUCCAACGAUCAGUUUGGGCCUCUGAUCAUCCACUUUUUUUGAGUCCAAGUUUCAUGUGAUUUACUAUUUUGCACCCAAUACCUAGAUAUCUGUCUGCUCUGUAUGUUGGAUUAGGAAGUUGGUACAUAUGAGACAUAGGUCAAGAAUCCUUUUCAUUUUUGGUCUAUGUUGGCUUCUCCAAUAUGAAAUUUUAAUCGUCUUUGGAGCAGAUAUACAACUAACACACACAAAGAGAGAAUAUAUGUUUCCAGCAAUCAUUUUUGUUAAUGUGUCUUCUUUUUCGAGUCAAGGAGAGUAUCAUCAUCGUUACGGCUGAAACGAUAAGCUUACACCACUUUUAAAUGUAUUUUUGAGAGUCUAAUUGAAGAUGCUGGUCAACCAGUUUGGCCGUAUGGAAUUGGCAUCCUCCAUGGCAAUUACUAAUGAUGCUCCAUCCACGCAUAAUAUUUGUGCCAGUCAAACCAUUUGCCGUUUGCUUGCUCGUUGUUAUUCGAGAAACAGCUUCCUCCUAAUUUGGCUUUUUGGUGCUAUUGUCGAACAAACGAAAGGCAAUUUCUUUUGGUUGAAUAAUAAUUUGAAGUGGAUAGAGACAAAUCCAUGUGUUACAAAGUAGAUGGCUCAGAUAAACUCAACUUCGUCUCCAACAAAUUUUAUAAAGUGUGAGACCCUCCAAUCACGCCGCAAUGACCAUGUCAGGGUUCAUGAUAUUAGUCAAUGUCGAACAGUUGUUCAAUUUCGAUGAGCCUAUAUAUAUAUAGGGUUGAAGAGCAAUACUACUACUAUAACCAGCAAUAUGUCAAAAUAUAUAAGCAACAACAAAAUAUGUACACUUCGCAUCUUGCAAUGCAACAACUUCGGUUUCUAAUAACAACUAGGAGCUUGUUACCCUAUAUUAAAAGUAAAACUGACGGAUUAAAAGUAAAAAUCUUAUGUGUAACGGGAUAUAUGUAUUCUCUUUCUGUAAUCACAUGAUUUAAUGCUUAUUUAUAGUUACGUGACCAUGACGGAGCUAGACUACAAAUAUUGGGAGGUCAAUAGCUGAGAAGUUUAUAAACUUAUUAUCCACAAAUUUUCAAAGUUUUAUAUAAAAUUUCAAAGAUUUUUUGGAAUUUUGGGGACCACAAUCACUUCAAGUUUAUAUGUAACUUCGUCUUUGCACAUGACUAUGUUAUUGUGAGAGAAAAAUAUUAUAUACAACGGAUUAUACUUUAAAUAUUUUUCCAACAUAUAGUGUUUCUUUUCAUCUUCCCUCACAUAGUUUGUGGUGGAUAAUUUCUCAAAUUUUGUGGUCGAAAGUUAUUAUAUCUAGUGAUGAUUAGAAUCAGAUAUGAAAAGCCGCACGAUGUUUGAUUUGUGGUGGGAGCAAGAAAUAUAUUUUAUCAUGGCAAAUGACUAAACUCACUUAGUCUCACUAUUCGUUAAACAAAUCUAGAGCCGUCCACUGAUAUAUGCCCCCCAAUUUUACCCCGUAAUUAGUAGAGUGGAAAAUGCCACACUUUUCUUCCUUCCCGUGAUGGAGAGUGGGACUCGAUGGUCAACAAUUUCGGCCAUCGUGGGUAUUAUCGUCAAACAUUUUGACCUCCUUAUUCGUCACGGCAGCCAUUUUUGCAAAAACUAAUCAUUAAAAAACACACUUCGAUUAAAAUUUUACGAGUUUUUCAUUAAACUUCGUUUUCGGUUUUGUUUUUCUUCCGAAAAUGACCCCUCGAAAGGUUUGGCACCAUUUGAAUUGGUCAAAAGCAUUAUUGGAUUUGACAUCAAUUUCCAAGAGAGAUCCAAACACUGCCAACACAUGCACGAACAUUUGGGGAAGCAUUGCCACCAAGCAAGGAAGAAAAACAAACUUACGAUAGAGAUAGCACUUGCUAAUAAUAUGUUAUGUGAAAAUAUUAUUACGUGUAUUAUAAAGUUAUUGGUCGAAGAUAGUAAAAUAGUCAUCUUUUUCCAAAUAAUAAAGUAAAAAUGUAACAUCACUUUGCAAAUUGUGAUAGGUUGAUGUGGCAUUUUUCCGUUCAAAUUAAGUACACUACAUUGUAGUAAGCAAAGUUUUAAUACUUGAUGCCAAAAGUUUAUUCAAUUGCAAGUCACUUGAACUUUGAUUAUUGGAAUCUUUCGGCUAGGUUGAAAUCAAUCUGCAAUAUGGAGAAAAGGAUCCAUAAGAUCUUGGCACAAUCAGGGACGGAUCCACAGAGGAGCAAGGGUGGUCAAUUGACCCCUGCAACUCCAGAAUCCGCCACUAGAGGAAGAAAAAUUGACCCCUGCAAUGGCUGGAUGGCUGGGCAAUUCAUGCCCGCCAUCUGUUUGAGGAAAUGCCUCAAAGGGUUGCAGCAACUUCAACUUCAGCGCAGCAAGAAGGAGUGCACGCAGAGCGCUUCCUUUUUUUCGUCCAAAAGUCCCUCUUCCUAAAGUGGAUAUCAGCUGGAUAUCAGCUUCUUGCUCUUUGCAAAGGGUGGUUUGGGAGAACAGUGUCAUUGGGAAAAUCAAAGCUUUGCCAUCGAAUUUUACCAUGUGCAUCUUUCAGAACAAGGUUGCCAGAAUUCAAAAGCUCUGCUCUCUCAACAUCAAGACUACUGGAGUUGGUGCUGGUCUGCCAGACAAUUGCGCCAUCCACAUCGGUCUCAAGACCAAUGAGCCAUCUUUUCGAAGCGAAACUCUGGCGCCAAGGCUAUUGACAGUUUUGUCUCUGUUAGCCAUCCAAACAACUGUUCUGCUUUUAGAGUUUGUGAACCCACAUGUGAAAGACUCAUCUGGGGAAGUUACUUGAUUUAAUGUGUUUUCUCAAUUGUUUUCUCAAUGAAUUAUAUAUGAAUGAUAAUUUAUCGUUUUAUUUUUAUGGGAUGAAUAUUGAUGUUUUUCUUGAUUAGUUGUUGAGGUUUUUUAUUUUAUUUUUUCCCAAGGAGGUUUAAUUUUGGUUAGUUACCUUUAGUUUGAAUAAAGGAUUUCUUAAUAAUAAAAAUAUUUAUGGGUAUAUUUUGUAUAGAAUUUUUUUAACCUUUUAAAAGUUGACCCCCGGAGGAAAAAUUCCUGGAUCCGUCCCUGGGCACAAUGUGGUACUGAUCAAAGACAUUUCAAUACUUAAGUUAGCACGAAUGUUUAUGAGUAACUAAUUUAGCAGAGUAAUUGUACAUGUGCAAGAGGCCUUAAGUGAGGUCCCUAAAUGAUUUGGUCAAUGUGGGACUUUUGUCCUAUGAGGAGGGUGCUAACAUAUGUCCUUAUUUCGAACAGGAAUGCCCUUCGGUAGCAGCACGGCAUGUGUGAGGCAAGUGUCUUUAUUUCGAGAGCGAGUGCCUUGAAGAUAGUGGCACGACAUGUCUCAAUCGGUCAGUGACUCCUCCUACUUGGUCCUCAGUAGGUGUAGGUUCAUCGUUGUCUUAGGCUACUAAAUCUGCUUGGUUAGAUAUAGUGUAAAUACAAACGAUAUUAAAAAAGGAUAUAAACUUGAACACAUGAACUCGAAUGUAGAAUAACUAAUUUUAACAACUUAAGCUACAAUCUCAUUGCGGCCCUACAAUGUCUUUUGAUUGAGGCUGCAUGCCUUUGCUUCGGAUGAUGCAUAGUAGCAGGGGCAUGCUGGGCUGCUGCCCGACCCAAAAUAGCCCCCAAAAAACCCUAUCUCUAAGGUACCCAUCCAGAGCCAGCCACGUUCUCUUCUUCUUACGCGUUUUGACUUUUUGCCCAUCAUUGGCGGAGGCGGAGGCUAGCAGCUCGAAGGACUAUAAUUUAUGAGGUUUUUGUUCUUCUUGCUAUGAAUUUAGGUUUUUGUCACCAUCAAUUUUUUUAGGAUUUUUUAUUUGUUGAUAACAGUUUUCAUACUUUAGAUGAAAUCUUGCAGAGACUGGUAUAUAAAGAAGAAGAUCAGGAUUGAAGGCUAAGCACUCACACCCCUUAUCAGAGUGAGAUCCGAUCAUAUUUUCUUUGUCUCCUACUUUUUAUACUUCAUUUUUUACUGUGUUUGCUUUCUACUUCAAGUUUUUGCUAUCUACUCUUAUGUUUCUAAAUUUGAAAAAAUUAUUUUAGACUUUUAGUCUCUUUGUGGCACGGAAGGCUAACCACAUACUUCCUUCCAAAAUAUCAUAAAGCCAGUACUUGUGUCGUUUUUGUUAUUUGUUGAUAAUAUAUGUGGCUGUUAUUUGCAUCUUUAUGCUAAUAUAUUGAAGGCAAAAUAUAUUGUGCAUUGCAUAUAAUCUUUGGUCUGAUUUUGUUGUUGGUAUGUUUGAUUAAAAGCAUUUCUACAUAUUAUUUAUGGGUCAUAUUUUAUUAUGUCGGAUCAUAAUCGGAACCCUAAAAGAAGAAAAAAUUUGUUUCCUUUUCAUAAGAUCAUCAUCUAGUUUAAUGCCUUCUAACCCUUUUUAUUUAUUUAUUAUUAUUAUUAAGCUUUUAUUUAUGUAUAGAGAUGUAUUUGAAGAUAAUGCUCAUUACGUCUCUCUGACUAGGUAUAUCUUUUUAUAUUUCUUAAUAAAAUUUACUUAUACUGUCAGUUUAGUAUGUAAAUUUUGCGGAUUUUAAAUCUUGAAUCCGCCAAAGCAUAGUAGUAGUAACCAAACUCGUUAACCAAGUUUGUGAUCCCGACUCUGCUGCAAUUUUGAGGCUAAAACUUAUUACACAAAAGAGAGAAAACAUGCCCAUGCCAAAAGCAUCUGGAUUUUUGUUUUUGUGUGUGUUCAUUUAAAAAGGAAAGGCAUAUAGGAAUAUAGUGGAGAUGAAGCUGCUGGACUAGAGAUACCCCACCUCCCCACCUUCAUCAAAUGAAACCAAUUUGCUAAUAAAAUAAAAAUGGUGUGUUCAUAUGCUGUCCACACACAACCUCUGUGUCAGUCAAACCAUUUAUAAUUUGCAAGCUGACCUCAACAUUCCAACAUCUGUAAUUUCCAAUUCCCUCCGAGGUCAUUUCUGUACCAAAACAUUUCUUCUAGUUGCAGAAACAUAAAAAAGGCAUCUUGCCUACUCAAGUCUUUUCAGCAAAAAAACAACACAUUGAAAAUUUGACGCAGCAACAUGUAUUUUACGUUUUAGGAGUUGCAGAGAGGCUUGGAAAAGAAAACGAGAAAGCUUUUUGCUUUGAUGAACAAGAAGCUCAGCUAGCAGCAACAUUCAACUUUGCUGAAUUAAGAAGAACCAGAGACCCCAUUAAUUUCAUGCAAUUGCCUAUAUCCAAUCCCCAUAAACAAAGCAGUUAAU
RNAcentral lists this long non-coding RNA (19415 nucleotides) under Prunus persica (peach). Its description in RNAcentral is "long non-coding RNA (PPER_LNC007427)". The record is from RNAcentral. Lineage: Eukaryota; Viridiplantae; Streptophyta; Magnoliopsida; Rosales; Rosaceae.